Molecule: ribosomal RNA, 253 nt
Filed under: uncultured bacterium
Lineage: Bacteria
Description: partial 16S ribosomal RNA
Rfam family: Bacterial small subunit ribosomal RNA
Source: RNAcentral
UACGUAGGCAGCGAGCGUUGUUUGGAAUUACUGGGCGUAAAGAGUGUGUAGGCGGUGCUCCCAGUCUGUUGUGAAAUCUCCCGGCUUAACUGGGAGGGUGCAGCGGAAACUAGAGUGCUAGAGGGUGGGAGAGGUAAGCGGAAUUCCUGGUGUAGCGGUGAAAUGCGCAGAUAUCAGGAGGAACACCGAUGGCGAAGGCAGGUCUCUGGGCAUUAACUGACGCUGAGGAGCGAAAGCAUGGGGAGCGAACAGG